GAAAGAUUUAUCGCUUUAAGAUUGGCCCGCGGAAGAUUAGGUAGUUGGUGGGGUAAAGGCCUACCAAGCCGACGAUCUAUAGCUGGUCUGAGAGGACGAACAGCCACAUUGGAACUGAGACACGGUCCAGACUCCUACGGGAGGCAGCAGUGAGGAAUAUUGGGCAAUGGAGGAAACUCUGACCCAGCCAUGCCGCGUGAGUGAAGAAGGUUUUCGAAUUGUAAAGCUCUUUCGGAUGUGAAGAUGAUGACGGUAACAUCUAAAGAAGCCCCGGCAAACUUCGUGCCAGCAGCCGCGGUAAUACGAAGGGGGCAAGCGUUGUUCGGAAUUACUGGGCGUAAAGGGUGUGUAGGCGGGAAAGUAAGAUAGUGGUGAAAUGCCUGAGCUCAACUUGGGAACUGCCAUUAUAACUAUUUUUCUAGAGUGACAGAGAGGAUAUUGGAAUACCCAGUGUAGAGGUGAAAUUCGUAGAUAUUGGGUAGAACACCGGAGGCGAAGGCGAGUAUCUGGCUGUCAACUGACGCUGAGGCACGAAAGCAUGGGGAUCAAACAGGAUUAGAUACCCUGGUAGUCCAUGCUGUAAACGAUGAAUGCUAGUUGUUGGCG
RNAcentral lists this ribosomal RNA (606 nucleotides) under uncultured bacterium. Its description in RNAcentral is "bacterial SSU rRNA". It matches the Rfam family "Bacterial small subunit ribosomal RNA", at positions 202 to 828 of the family's 1533-position model. The record is from RNAcentral.